CUUUUUGUUUGACAGGAGAUAAUUAAAUCACUGUUUUCCCUCCAUAUUAAUUAGGGUUUUUUGCUGUACUUGUCAGGAUGUUGGUUCAAAGCCAACCAUUGAUUCAGCGGGGACACAAGGGGAGAAAUCGCUCAAGGGCCUCCAAUUCAUAGCAGAAACUAAAGAGUCAAUUGAAAUUGAUAAACAACUGACAAUGAGCAAAAAGAAAAAUGAUCUGGACAAUGUUUCUGGGGAGAAGCUCCCCAAUAUAAAAACAAAAAUACAUAGGUCGUAUCCAGUUGGUAUUUCUUGGGUCCGUGAUAUCAUGGGACCUGCAUUAUGAUUUUUUAUUGCCUUCAACUGUUAUCAAUUUUUUUUGCAUGGAACCUUUUUUUUCUUUUUACAUUCGUUCCAUGUCUCCACUUGUUUUACUGUAAAAAAAGUGAUUCAAGAUCCAUUUCCUCAGCCAUAAAGAGGAAAACAUAUUGACUGUAUAAUUUUGCAAUAUCAUGUCUUUCCAGGAUAAAGUGCUCUUUGUGUUUUGACAUUGUAGAUUCAUGCAAUCUACUCCUUGUAAACUUUUUCGGUCAGUUCUAAUGGACAUACAGAAAGCACUCUUAUUCUUUUUACUUUGUAGAGUCAUAUACUCUACUCAAGAACUGUACCUUUUUUUGUUAGCUCUGAUGGACAUUCAGAGAUUGGACUUGAAUGAUUGCUAACUUGUAGAUAUUGUGCCACUAGUGGCACCACAUAGUCCUGCCCUUCCAAGACUGUACUUGAUAAUGAUUUGUCGUCAAAGAUAUGUGAAAUGUAGCAGUUUCAUUCGUAAUUUGCAGAUAUGAAA
Molecule: non-coding RNA, 823 nt
Organism: Carica papaya (papaya)
Lineage: Eukaryota; Viridiplantae; Streptophyta; Magnoliopsida; Brassicales; Caricaceae
Source: RefSeq, a predicted model, not a curated record